GUAUGUGGGUACUAACGGGAACUGUACCGAAACGCACUCGUAAUGCGUAGGCCGGGGGUUCAAUUCCCUUCACCA
Molecule: transfer RNA, 75 nt
Filed under: Paenibacillus peoriae
Lineage: Bacteria; Bacillati; Bacillota; Bacilli; Caryophanales; Paenibacillaceae
Description: tRNA-OTHER
Source: RNAcentral